AAAAUGUUAGUUCAAAAACACUCAUUCACAAUGAUGUAUUUGAGUAAAAUUAAAAGUAGUUAAAUCCAUUAUUUAAACAUUUAUCCAUUACCCAAACAGUUCAGUAAAUAAAACAAGUGUACCUCAAACGGGAGUCAUGUUUACAUCUGCCGAUCGUUGCAGCUCUGGGAGACGAAAAACAAGGUUGGCACCUGGACCGAAAUCAAAACAGGAACUAGCUUCCAGUAUGACAAAUGCUUUCAGGCGAUAUAUGCGUGAGAUAGUAAAUGAGAUAAUUUACGGACCACUCCUUUAGGUAUAAUGAGCUGCAAAUAAUUAUUCAAUAAUAAGACGCUAAGUAGGAAGUGGAGGUGUGUCUAUCAGUCAAAACGUAGUGACGGCUCGGUAACAUAUACAAAUGACAGCACUAAGAGUAACGGCUGAAUAUUGUAAUGUGCGUGCUAUGGUUAAAAAAGAACUACGGGAAGCCAAGAGCUCUUUGAAAUGCAAAUUGCUGUAGAUGCAAAAUGUAAUCCUAAACAUUUCUUUCAAUACUGUAGUAGGAAAAGCAAAGUCAAAGAGGAUAUCAGGUGCAUCAGAAAUGAAGAAGGAGCAUUGCUUUCUAAGAAUAAAGAUAUUGCUGAUGCCUUAAAUAGUUAUUUUGUUGAGAGUUUUACUAGAGAAGAGAUUACUAAUAGACUGGAAGACAUAUUCAGUACUCUUAAGUCUUAUCAGAUAUUGAAAUAACUAAAGACAAACAAGGCAGCAGGCCCUGAUGGCAUAUACCCAUAUACCACUGGCAGGUAUUUUUAGACAGUCCUUAGAAACUGGAGAAAUACCUGAGGACUGGAAGCGUGGUAGUAUAAUACCAAUAUAUAAGAAAGGGGACCGUACUGAUCCCAGAAACUACAGGCCUGUAAGUUUAACUUGCAUAAUAUGUAAAAUACUGGAAUCUAUCAUUAGAGACACGUUGGAAGUAUUUCUUGAAAAUAGCAACAUCCUAAGGGAUAGCCAGCAUGGUUUUCGUAAGGGAAGGUCAUGUCUGACAAACAUUCUGGUAUUUUUUGAAGAAGCUACCAAGUGUUUUGAUUAUAGCAAGGCGUAUAAUAUUAUCUACUUAGAUUUCAAAAAGGCAUUUGAUAAGGUACCACAUGAGAGACUUGUUAGUAAAAUUAAGACAGUAGAAAUUAGAGGAUGUAUUUCAGAGUAGAUUCGGAACUGGCUACAGGGUAGAACACAAAGAGUAGUAGUAGGAGGGAUAUGAUCUGAGCAGAAAGCUGUUAGAGGUGGAGUCCCACAAAGAUCGGUGCUGGGACCACUGCUCUUCCUCAUUUAUAUCAAUGACCUCGACAGGGACAUAGAAAGUACAUUACUCAAAUUUGCAGAUGAUACAAAAGGUAGAUUCCAUACAGCCAUUAGGAAGGAUUUUUUCACACAGAGUAGUCAAUGUGUGGAAUAGCCUGCCAGGUCACAUGGUAGAGGCAGAAACUAUGGGUAUUUUCAAGACUAGGCUUAAUGCAGUGUUAGAUACUAUCUAGUCUGUAGGGAAUCAGUGCACUAAUGUAGUUAGGAAAAUGGUGAGUAUUGUUGGGCUGAACGGCAUGUUCUCGUCAUUAUGUUAUGUUAUGUUAAUUACUGACCUUUAGUGGUUGCAUUGUCAUCAAAUUUGAAUUAGGAUUUGUCCAGCAUUGUGGCUGUGGCUGCAUUGUGUUUUUAAUCCCACCAGACACACCCACCAGCAUUUGUAUCCAAUAAAAAGCUUUUAGGUGAGAAAACAAAAACUUCCGCUUCCACUGUGUUUGAGCAUCUGUUACAUUGUUUCAGCAAUAUUUAGAGUAAUUCUUACUCUUAAAAAACAAACUCCUGAGGGUUACCUUUCAGAGGAAACUAGGAUUAUGCUUGUAGUCAAAAGGGUUCAAGUAACUAUUUUAUUUUGGGUUUGUCAUUUUCAGGUUUGUGUUAAAAAAGUGGUGCUACAGAAGGGCUUAAAAAACUUGGAGUUCUUGCUGCAACAAAUUCCUAUUGAACAACACAAGACCAAAGAUAAGAGUAGUGAACUAGUACAGAAUCUAAAUAAUAGCAUAAGACUGAGAAAAAAACUAUAAGACAGUCAAAACAAAAAAUAGCAUAAAUUAGCAAGCAAAGCUAAUGGGCUGGAUAUCUAAAUUGUAAAAGUAAACAAGAUAAGAACAAAGAAGAUAGACCUGGGGCCGUAUGUAUCAAGCCGGUCAAAGUAAAAAAUGAGUCUCAAGUGUAACUUAAGUCUAAGAAUGGGUGACUUUUACUCCUACACUCAGAUUUAAGAAUAAAAGUGAUUUAUCAAAUUUCUCUUGACUUAAGAAUACUCUUAACCUGUCAGGUAUUUAAGAGACCUCUGGGGCUCUCUUAAUUUGGCUAGGAGUAGGCAAGAUGGCCUGAGGUGCGAGGACGGAGACGUGCACGCACCUUCCGAGACAGGAAGAAUGUUUUACAAAUGUUUGAUGAUGCACAGUUAAUCAAACGUUAUCGCUUAGAUCAUCAGGGAAUCAUCUUUGUCACCGAUCUUGUGCGGGAUGUAAUAUCACCAUCAACUUUGAGAAGUAGCGUAAUUACGGUAGAGAUGCAAGGCAUUUUAACGCUGCGCUUCCUAGCCACAGGAAAAAUGCAGUUAUGCAAUAUUGAUGAUUUGGGACCAUCACAAUCCACCAUCAGCAGGGUAGUGGCAAAAACUGUGUCAGCCCUUGCAGCACCUCACAUAGUGAGGAGGUUUAUAGAAUUUCCAGCCUCUCCUCUGUUAAUCUGCCAGAAGCAAGCUGCAUUCAUGCAUCUAGCAGGCUUCCCGGGGUUGGUUGGAGUAAUUGAUGGCACCCACAUCCGUAUAAUUGCUCCCAGCGUAGAUGAAGAGACUGUUGAUGUUGUGUCCAAGUGGCCAGGAUCUACCCAUGACGCACGCAUCCUGAAUGAAAGUGGAUUGCAACAGCUGUUUGAAAGGAACAUUGUUCCACCUGGGUGCCAUCUCCUUGGAGAUAAAGGCUACCCAAAACGACGCUGGCUUCUCACACCAUUCCCAAGACCACAACCAGGGGCCCAAGAAAAUUACAACAGGGCUCACCAAUGCACCUGAAGUGUUGUGGAGAGGGGCAUCGGCUAAUGGAAACGCCGGUUCCAUGUCCUUCAUGGGGAAAUCCGCCAAACACCACAGAAGGCCAGCAAUAUUAUAAUGGCAUGUGCAGUCUUGCAUAAAAUAUGCAUAAUGUGCAACAUUCCUCUCCCCCCUGAUGAGGGAGAUCAUAAUAAUGAUAAUGAUGAUGAUGAUGAUGAUGACGACCACCCUCCUAGCUUCCCAUUUGCCUCUGAUGCCACUGUGUUUAGGCAGCACUUUGCCAACUUUCAUUUUGGUGCAUCCAUGUCCUCCACCUCGUCCGGAUUGAGCCGUGGAGUGGCAGUGGCCAGUGGGGGCUCAGGGAGCAGGGGUUCUGGGCCUGCUGCUGGAGAGGGAAUGCCAGAUGGGCC
Long non-coding RNA from Anguilla rostrata (American eel), 3471 nucleotides. RefSeq lists it as uncharacterized. The record is from RefSeq and is a predicted model, not a curated record. Lineage: Eukaryota; Metazoa; Chordata; Actinopteri; Anguilliformes; Anguillidae. The transcript is spliced from 3 exons.